This 3249-nucleotide long non-coding RNA is filed under the name Zea mays. Its description in RNAcentral is "long non-coding RNA (ZMAY_LNC005701)". Lineage: Eukaryota; Viridiplantae; Streptophyta; Magnoliopsida; Poales; Poaceae. The record is from RNAcentral.
UUAGACCCUGACAACCUGUACCCGGACCCUCUCGCCUCCUAUGGCCUGUGCCUCCCUAGUCCCCAGUCCCCACGGAGGCCGCCGGCAAUCCGGCAUGCCUCUCGCGGCCGUUGCCGCGCACCUCCACGUUCGGCGUAGCGCUGGGGGUGCGGCUGCUCGACGCCCUCUCCCAAGCCCCUGGCGGCCUCCACAGGGCGCUCGCCACCGCCUCCUCCACGCCGCGUCGCCCGCGGUCGUGGCCUGUGCUCGCUGUCCUCAAGUCCAUCUACACGCUCUCCAAUAACACGUACGUCCAACGAUCGUCGAGGGCUUCCUCGGCCUCCAGGUGCACAAGGGGUUCAGGAACGGGAUCGACGCGCUCGGGGUGGUCGUCAAGGUCGCCGUCAUCGUCUCUGAGGUCGCUGUUUGUGUGUGUGUGUGUGUGUGUGUGGGGGGGGGGGGGGGGGGGGGGGGGGGGGGGGGGGGGGGGGGUCCUCCUUGGCUGUAGCAAAUCUGAACCCCCCCCCCCCCCCCCCCCCCCCCCCCCCCCCCCCCCCCCCCCCCGAAGUUGCGCUCUUCGAUCCGGCCUCGGAAUUGCUCUCCCUCGUUGUGCGAGUUAGCCUUUAGCACAUAGUGACUGUUUGUACAUUUGCUUUUGUCAGAUAUAUGUCGAGGCGGUUCUUCAUCCAGUGCGUGCAACUAUGUUCGUGUACGAAUAGACAAGUGUGGUUCAAGAAACUGUACAUCAAUUUAUAGAGUGUUUGGUUUGAGGAAUGAUGUAGUCCAUCAUCUUCUCACACUUCACUUUUUUGUUUGGUUUGUGAAAUGGAGUGAGUUAAUCCAUCACCACCUCAUUCCUCAAAGUUAGUUGUUUAGUACUAAUAUGUGGAAUAGAGUCAUCCCACCAAAUUUGAGGAAUGAACCUAUUAUGCACCACUUCAUUUUGGAUAGAGUGAUUCAUCAAACCAAACACCUCAUUAAGGAUCCAAUCGUAUUGAUUUCAUCGAUCAAAUCUUUUUUGCCAGAGUAAAUUCUGACAUGGAAUUCUGAGUGUUGUUUUCUAGAUUGCCAUCCAGUCGGAGUUCCAAUUCUGUAGAAUGCUGGUUUGGGUGAAGCAUAGUUUGUAAAUUUGACCACUCAUUGUAGCUUAGCUGUAAUGGAGAUUUGCAACCUGGUACAUUGCCUACUUACCCCGUAGCGUCAAACCUUUUAGUUCAUUAAGAUUUUACUCUUUGCCGUAAUGCAACUGUGGAUACAUUACUCUCUAUAGAUCUGUAGUUUGUUCUUGGAUAACUCAAAUUAAACAGAAAAUCAACAGAAUUGGAUAUCUGGAAUUUCAUGGGCCUAUGAUUUAUCAGCAAGAUCAUUAACCUUACUAAACUCAAAGAGUAUAAUGUUGAACAUUUUUGCUAUGCUUAUUCAUAUUGUUCUUGUUAGUUCCAACUCUUGAUCCUUCUGCACAUAAGGGCACAGGCUAAAAAGGCCCAAUAUAUUAAGUUUACUUAUUACUGUGCUCUGUUGCCAUGUUUUUUGAUUCUCUGAUGUACCAUUGCUACAUUCUAUCCUUGAAAUUCUCUGAUGAGCAGAUCAAAUCUAGACUCUGCUACGAAGAAAUACUUAAGAGAUCCUCAGAACUUUUAUUUCUAUAGAUGACAUAGUUAUAUACACAAAUGACUCUUCUGGAGACUCACUACCACAUUCACUUGUGACAAUGGUAAACAAGUGACAGCAGAUUGACACAUACAUUAAAUCUACAUUAGUUGAACUAAAUUCUUGAGCUUCUAAUGAUGUAAGUUUAUUUUAAUGGAAAUAAAAAAACUGUGCUCGACGUCGCACAACUUCAAAUAAGACAUUGGGUCUUAGUUUUUGUGUGGUUGAGACUUGAGAAUCAUAUCCAUGAUUCAAUGGUGGAUUUAUACUUGUAGUUGUAGGGAUUUAAUCCAUUUAGUUGCGCAAGAAUGUCAGAUGUGUCCAGCAUGUCCUCUUCUUUCAUAUGGUCCUGAAAAAAAGGUAAGAGAUCUUGUUAACUAUGCAUAGAAGUAUUCCAGGUUCUUGUUUAAAAACAAUGAGAAUGCAUAAGAAGAAUCAUGUUUUUUUUUAUUCCAGGUUCUCGUUUGAUAAGACUGUGUAUAGUUCAAUUGAAAACUUACAGUUUGUUCAUAAUGUUCAUGACUCUGGGAGCCUGAUUGCGCUGCUUCACAGAGUUCAUCAUUCUUGGCAAACCUUCCACGGACACGGGGCCUGCUAUCCGCCAAGGUUUUUCUACAUGCGUACUGCAUUUCGUUGUAUGUCAGGCUGUCAGCACAGCUGAAUACGUAAGAUGUCCAUGCGGAGGUACCGCUCUAUUGAAAUGCUCAAUGGUACCUUUAUUUUUUUGCGGAAAUUUCUCUCGUUCCGUUUCUUUAUGUACCUAUGGAUCUUUUCCUUUCUCUCUUCAGGCGACAAGCGGACGACCUUAAACGUGGAGUCUUCCAGUACUGAUAGUUCCGUCGGAGGUAACGUUGCUGGGUUCCCGUUGCAUCCGUUUAUCAGGUGCUGAUUAUUUCCUCCUACCUGUUUAGUUAACAUAAUUCUGUGUAAGAAUCGGAAAUGGUAUGCAUGGUCAACUGGUUACUUUACCUGUGCUGUGUACCUAGGUUUUUGAACGUUACCUGCAUCUCUGCAUUAGUGUUAAAUGUCCCUUGCAUGGAAUCUGUGUCGUCAUAUGUUGUUGUCAGCCCUUCACCUUCCAUCAUCUUCUGAUACUCGCCAAUCAUCACCAUACUGUUGCUGCCGGCACUGCUGAAGAAUUCCUGUUGUGAUGCAUCUGCACUGCAGCCUGGAAGAACUGCUCCAGUUUGCUGAUACAUGGCUCCAUCCAGACCCAUGAACCCUCCAGCUGCUACGGCUGCCAUGAAGCACUCAUCAUAGUCUGUAGCGAGCGGCAUCAAGGCAGAUGCACUGCUGCUCAUCUGCACUGGAGGAGGCACCUGCUCGUCUAAGGUCUCUGGAAGUCCCAUCUGGUCGAACUGCCCUAUGCUGGCCUCAUCGGUGGCAGUUGGAUAGUAUGCUGCUACCUCUGAUAGGCCAUCGAUCUGCGGGAGGAACCCGGCGUCAAGGCCAUGGUGCUGCUCUUCCUCCAGGAGGGCUGUGAGAGUGGUGUCGAAGGAUGUCAACGGGGUGUAGGCUGUGGCUCCACCAGCAGCUGCGGUGUCUUCACUGUAGCCGCAGAUAGGAGGGGUGGUAGCGGUAGACGAAGAAACAUCAUCGUCAGUGGCAGGGAAUGGGCCA